RNAcentral lists this ribosomal RNA (497 nucleotides) under uncultured bacterium. Its description in RNAcentral is "partial 16S ribosomal RNA". It matches the Rfam family "Bacterial small subunit ribosomal RNA", at positions 28 to 507 of the family's 1533-position model. The record is from RNAcentral.
GAUGAACGCUGGCGGCGUGCCUAAUACAUGCAAGUCGAGCGAACGGACGAGAAGCUUGCUUCUCUGGUGUUAGCGGCGGACGGGUGAGUAACACGUGGAUAACCUACCUAUAAGACUGGGAUAACUUCGGAAAACCGGAGCUAAUACCGGAUAAUAUUUUGAACCGCAUGGUUCAAAAGUGAAAGACGGUCUUGCUGUCACUUAUAGAUGGAUCCGCGCUGCAUUAGCUAGUUGGUAAGGUAACGGCUUACCAAGGCAACGAUGCAUAGCCGACCUGAGAGGGUGAUCGGCCACACUGGAACUGAGACACGGUCCAGACUCCUACGGGAGGCAGCAGUAGGGAAUCUACCGCAAUGGGCGAAAGCCUGACGGAGCAACGCCGCGUGAGUGAUGAAGGUCUUCGGAUCGUAAAACUCUGUUAUUAGGGAAGAACAUAUGUGUAAGUAACUGUGCACAUCUUGACGGUACCUAAUCAGAAAGCCACGGCUAACUACGUG